GACGAACGCUGGCGGCGUGCCUAAUACAUGCAAGUCGAACGCUUCUUUCCUCCCGAGUGCUUGCACUCAAUUGGAAAGAGGAGUGGCGGACGGGUGAGUAACACGUGGGUAACCUACCCAUCAGAGGGGGAUAACACUUGGAAACAGGUGCUAAUACCGCAUAACAGUUUAUGCCGCAUGGCAUAAGAGUGAAAGGCGCUUUCGGGUGUCGUUGAUGGAUGGACCCGCGGUGCAUUAGCUAGUUGGUGAGGUAACGGCUCACCAAGGCCACGAUGCAUAGCCGACCUGAGAGGGUGAUCGGCCACACUGGGACUGAGACACGGCCCAGACUCCUACGGGAGGCAGCAGUAGGGAAUCUUCGGCAAUGGACGAAAGUCUGACCGAGCAACGCCGCGUGAGUGAAGAAGGUUUUCGAAUCGUAAAACUCUGUUGUUAGAGAAGAACAAGGACGUUAGUAACUGAACGUCCCCUGACGGUAUCUAACCAGAAAGCCACGGCUAACUACGUG
Molecule: ribosomal RNA, 508 nt
Filed under: uncultured bacterium
Lineage: Bacteria
Description: partial 16S ribosomal RNA
Rfam family: Bacterial small subunit ribosomal RNA
Source: RNAcentral